AGUUGGGUGGGGUUGGAAAGUUUCGGCGGUUGGGGAUGGACUCGCGGCUUAUCAGCUUGUUGGUGGGGUAGUGGCUUACCAAGGCUUUGACGGGUAGCCGGCCUGAGAGGGUGACCGGCCACAUUGGGACUGAGAUACGGCCCAGACUCCUACGGGAGGCAGCAGUGGGGAAUAUUGCACAAUGGGCGGAAGCCUGAUGCAGCAACGCCGCGUGCGGGAUGACGGCCUUCGGGUUGUAAACCGCUUUCGCCUGUGACGAAGCGUGAGUGACGGUAAUGGGUAAAGAAGCACCGGCUAACUACGUG
This 305-nucleotide ribosomal RNA is filed under the name uncultured bacterium. Its description in RNAcentral is "bacterial SSU rRNA". It matches the Rfam family "Bacterial small subunit ribosomal RNA", at positions 187 to 507 of the family's 1533-position model. The record is from RNAcentral.